GACGAACGCUGGCGGCGUGCUUAACACAUGCAAGUCAGGGAGAACGGUGUCCUUCGGGAUGCCUAGUAAACCGGCAAACGGGUGAGUAACACGUAGGUAACUUGCCUUUGGGUUUGGGAUAACCUCGCUAACGCGGGGGUAAUUCCGAAUAAUGCAGCGGAUCCGCAUGGAUAUGUUGUUAAAGCGGCGAUGACUUGUCAUCGUCGCGCCUAAAGAUGGACCUGCGCCCCAUUAGCAGUUGGUGAGGUUACGGCUCACCAAGGCUGCGAUGGGUAGCCGGCCUGAGAGGGUGACCGGCCACACUGGGACUGAGAUACGGCCCAGACUCCUAC
RNAcentral lists this ribosomal RNA (332 nucleotides) under uncultured bacterium. Its description in RNAcentral is "bacterial SSU rRNA". It matches the Rfam family "Bacterial small subunit ribosomal RNA", at positions 28 to 342 of the family's 1533-position model. The record is from RNAcentral.